UGCCUGCCCAGUGACCAUGUGUUCAACGGCCGCGGUAUUCUGACCGCGCGAAGGUAGCGUAAUCACUUGUUUUUUAAUUAAAGACUAGUAUGAACGGCCGCACGAGGACCUAACUGUCUCCUUUGUCCAAUCAGUGAAACUGAUCUCCUCGUGCAGAAGCGAGGAUUUCUCCAUAAGACGAGAAGACCCUAUGGAGCUUUAAACUUUUAUUAAUUAUUUUCUUCCCCUCUAAGGAGCUACAGCCAAUUUAAUUUAUUUAAUAAAAGUUUUAGGUUGGGGCGACCAUGGAAAAAAAAAAAUCCUCCCUGAUGAUAACCUAACCAAAAGCCACAGCUCUAAGUAUUAAAACACUUGACUCCUAUUGACCCAUUUUAUGAUCAACGAACCAAGUUACCCUAGGGAUAACAGCGCAAUCCAUUUUAAAAGUCCCUAUCGACAAAUGGGUUUACAACCUCGAUGUUGGAUCAGGGCAUCCAAGUGGUGCAACCGCUACUAAAGGUUCGUUUGUUCAACGAUUAAAGCCCU
Molecule: ribosomal RNA, 525 nt
Filed under: Boulenophrys boettgeri (pale-shouldered horned toad)
Lineage: Eukaryota; Metazoa; Chordata; Amphibia; Anura; Megophryidae
Description: partial large subunit ribosomal RNA
Rfam family: Bacterial large subunit ribosomal RNA
Source: RNAcentral